RNAcentral lists this ribosomal RNA (479 nucleotides) under Thermonema rossianum. RNAcentral's name for it is "bacterial SSU rRNA". It matches the Rfam family "Bacterial small subunit ribosomal RNA", at positions 42 to 513 of the family's 1533-position model. Lineage: Bacteria; Pseudomonadati; Bacteroidota; Cytophagia; Cytophagales; Thermonemataceae. The record is from RNAcentral.
GCAGGCCUAAUACAUGCAGUCGAGGGGCAGCGGGUCUUCCUUCGGGAAGAUGCCGGCGACCGGCGCACGGGUGCGUAACGCGUAUGCAACCUGCCCUGACUGGGGGAUAGCUCAGGGAAACUUGAGGUAAUACCCCAUAUACUCAUCGAGGGGCAUCCCUUGCUGAGGAAAGCUCCGGCGGUGCAGGAUGGGCAUGCGUCCGAUUAGCUAGUUGGUGGGGUAACGGCUCACCAAGGCUACGAUCGGUAGGGGGUCUGAGAGGAUGAUCCCCCACACGGACACUGAGACACGGGUCCGACUCCUACGGGAGGCAGCAGUAGGGAAUAUUGGGCAAUGGGCGAAAGCCUGACCCAGCCAUGCCGCGUGGAGGAAGACGGCCCACCGGGUUGUAAACUCCUUUUGUCAGGGACGAAAGAGCGCCUGCGGGCGUGUGUUUGACGGUACCUGACGAAUAAGCACCGGCUAACUCCGUGCCAGCA